GAUCAUGGCUCAGGAUGAACGCUAGCUACAGGCUUAACACACGCAAGUCGAGGGGCAGCAUUUUAGUUUGCUUGCAAACUAAAGAUGGCGACCGGCGCACGGGUGAGUAACACGUAUCCAACCUGCCGAUAACUCGGGGAUAGCCUUUCGAAAGAAAGAUUAAUAUCCGAUAGUAUAUUUUCUCCGCAUGGUGAGAAUAUUAAAGAAUUUCGGUUAUCGAUGGGGAUGCGUUCCAUUAGUUUGUUGGG
Molecule: ribosomal RNA, 248 nt
Filed under: uncultured bacterium
Lineage: Bacteria
Description: partial 16S ribosomal RNA
Rfam family: Bacterial small subunit ribosomal RNA
Source: RNAcentral